Puntigrus tetrazona (Sumatra barb) is the source of this 1141-nucleotide long non-coding RNA. RefSeq lists it as uncharacterized. The transcript has 3 exons. Lineage: Eukaryota; Metazoa; Chordata; Actinopteri; Cypriniformes; Cyprinidae. The record is from RefSeq and is a predicted model, not a curated record.
UCUAACCUUAUUUGUUCAUUGGCGUGUGAUUGUCACCCACAAUAGCCAAUGAGAUUGUGCCUUUACAGUAUUUAAGGCUGGAGUCAUGUCACCUGGUGUGCGUCACCGCUGGGACUGCUUUUGAUGGAGUGCGCAUGUGCAGAGGGUGCGUGGUCUCUGUGGUAUGUAGCAGUUAAUGGAAGAGUGGGUAUGAGGAUUAAAAGUAGAUCUUUUCUUCCCCUAGCGCGAAAAGUGGCUGGUUGAUACUUUGUUCUGGUUACAGGCUGUCCACCAUAUGUCAGUUGUGGAUCCUUUCGUGUCUGUCUUUCCUGCAUAAUCUUUUGUGAGUUGUGAGCAGCGGUAAAACUUGUGCUUAUAAUAAUCCGCUUUUUGUGCGUUGACGUCUUUCCGAUGCCGCGCGUCUAGUUACGAGAAUGCGGAAGUGUUUACACGGCGUUUAAAAGGACGGCGCUGCUGUUUUUCUCCUUUUUCUUUGGGACUUUCUUUUCGUUUUAUUUUUAUUUUCCUUUUUGUGGUAUGCCCACUGUUAUGUUAUUAAUUUUGUUUGCAUCUGUUUAUCGUCAUCAUUUAAAACUGAUCAAGACGGGGUUGGUUGCACCGGUGACUUUUAUCGGUGCUGUGAAAAGUGUCCUGAUGCAACUUUGACUUUUUGAUAACCUGAUUGCUGACCCUAUCGCUCCAGUGAGCAUUUGAACUGUUCCAUCCAGUAUUUGGGUCCCUUUUUUUUGCUCUGAAUAUUUUUGUAGGUUUAAUUUGAUGGAAAUAACUUGACUGUAUUACCGAAUGUAAUAUUACUUUUCUCUUGUUUUGGCUUGCUCUAGGCAUUGUCGGUCCCUGAGGCUAGUUAGCUUCGAGUAUUGGUGGUGGUAUAAUCGCGUGGAGUGCAGUGCUGCUUGGAUUCACCUUUCACAGAGUGUGUGUGUGGGAUGCACGAGUGUGCCAUUAGGAUCCUCACUUCGCCUAGCCUGCCCUUGCCGUUGGAAAGCCUGUGCUGUAUCUUUUUUUUUUUUUUUUUCUUGUUUCUUUGAGUAUUCUAAAUGUCUUUUAUUUGUAGGAAACAGAGCUCCCUUUUUGUAACCAUGUGAUAUUGAAUUGAUACUGAUUGAUCUUGAGACUUUUAACUAUUUAUUGUGGAUAUCUA